GCUAGAAUGCAAUUUCCUCAGGUGGUGCCUGCUCAGUGGCCCUUAAGUGCAUACAGAGUAAUUUACUGUAAAAUAGGACUAAACAGCCGCCUUAGGCAGCGAGGGUGGUAAUUAAGCAUAAUCUGAUACCGUUUUAUUGGCGGAGUGUUGAAUGGCUUUACGAGUGCGUCGCUGUCUCUAUUGUAAGGCCUAUAAAUUUGAAGUACUAGUUAAGAUGCUAGUUAAAACUGUAAGACGAGAAGACCCUAUAGAGCUUUACUAUAGGCUUUUUUAAGCUAAAUUAUAAAAUAAACCAAGUAAUUUAAGUUAAGAGAAAGUGUGGUAGUUUAGGUGGGGCGCCUACCUAUUAUUAAAAACAUAGUGUUAACAAGAUGGAUACCAGCCCAUUUAUUGUGUAAUUAAUACUUUUACCAGUUAUAAACAUAGGUGGAAUGACCCGUUUGGCCAUAAUUAAUGUAAUUACCAACGAUGCAAGAUAAAAGCUACCUUAGGGAUAACAGAGUAAUCCUGGUUUUAAGACCAUAUUUAAACCAGGGGUUGCCA
This 543-nucleotide ribosomal RNA is filed under the name Chuniphyes moserae. RNAcentral describes it as "partial 16S ribosomal RNA". It matches the Rfam family "Bacterial large subunit ribosomal RNA", at positions 1830 to 2523 of the family's 2925-position model. The record is from RNAcentral. Lineage: Eukaryota; Metazoa; Cnidaria; Hydrozoa; Siphonophorae; Clausophyidae.